Molecule: small nuclear RNA, 107 nt
Filed under: Chinchilla lanigera (long-tailed chinchilla)
Lineage: Eukaryota; Metazoa; Chordata; Mammalia; Rodentia; Chinchillidae
Source: RNAcentral
AUGUUCCCUUUGGUAGCACAUAUACUAAGUUUGGAACUAUACAGAGAAGAUUAGCAUCGCCCCUGCACAAGGAUGACAUGCACGUUCGUGAAGCAUUCCAUAUUAAA